AUGGCUUUCGUCCAACUGUUUGGGAAACCAGACAUAUUCCUUACAUUGACUUGCAACCCACACUAGGAAGAGAUAACUUGAGAACUUAAAGGUCAAUCACCACAAGAUCGGCUGGACUUGGUGGCGCGAGUCUUGAAGGCAAAAUUAGAGGAUUUAAAGGUUCUUUUGUUUAAGAAGAAAUUCUUUAGUGAAGUUGCUGCACAUCUGCACGUAAUUGAAUUUCAUAAAAUAGGCCUACCACAUGCACAUUUUUUAAUAUUUCUGAAAUCAAACUACAAGAUAGCUAAUCCGGACCAAUAUGAUGAGAUAAUAUCAGCUGAAAUUCCUGAUGAUAAAUAUCCUAUACUGCACGAUUUAGUUAUUAAGCAUGUGACGCACGUCCCGUGCUUGCAUGGAAAAUGGAAGUUGUCGGCAUCAUUAUCCUCGACAUUUCGCAGAGACCACAUAACAAAGAGAGGACUCUUAUCCAAUUUAUAG
Molecule: ribosomal RNA, 477 nt
Filed under: Triticum aestivum (bread wheat)
Lineage: Eukaryota; Viridiplantae; Streptophyta; Magnoliopsida; Poales; Poaceae
Description: partial small subunit ribosomal RNA
Source: RNAcentral